Small nuclear RNA from Dromiciops gliroides (monito del monte), 106 nucleotides. Lineage: Eukaryota; Metazoa; Chordata; Mammalia; Microbiotheria; Microbiotheriidae. The record is from RefSeq and is a predicted model, not a curated record.
GUGCUUGAUUCAGGAGUACAUAAACUAAAAUUGGAAGAUACAGAGAAGAUUGGCAUGGCCCCUGCACAAGGAUGAAACAUAAAUUCAUGAAGUGUUCCAUAUUUUU